Molecule: transfer RNA, 66 nt
Filed under: Scopura montana
Lineage: Eukaryota; Metazoa; Arthropoda; Insecta; Plecoptera; Scopuridae
Description: tRNA-Gly
Source: RNAcentral
AUUUAUCUAAUAUAUUUGUAUGUUUGACUUCCAAUCAAAAAGACUGAAUAAAAUUCAGGAUAAAUA